GACGAACGCUGGCGGCGUGCCUAAUACAUGCAAGUAGAACGCACAGUUUAUACCGUAGCUUUCUCCACCAUAAACUGUGAGUUGCGAACGGGUGAGUAACGCGUAGGUAACCUGCCUGGUAGCGGGGGAUAACUAUUGGAAACGAUAGCUAAUACCGCAUAAUAUUGAUUAUUGCAUGAUAAUUGAUUGAAAGAUGCUAUUGCAUCACUACCAGAUGGACCUGCGUUGUAUUAGCUAGUAGGUGAGGUAACGGCUCACCUAGGCGACGAUACAUAGCCGACCUGAGAGGGUGAUCGGCCACACUGGGACUGAGACACGGCCCAGACUCCUACGGGAGGCAGCAGUAGGGAAUCUUCGGCAAUGGACGAAAGUCUGACCGAGCAACGCCGCGUGAGUGAAGAAGGGUUUCGGAUCGUAAAGCUCUGUUGUAAGAGAAGAACGGGUGUGAGAGUGGAAAGUUCACACUGUGACGGUAUCUUACCAGAAAGGGACGGCUAACUACGUG
This 505-nucleotide ribosomal RNA is filed under the name uncultured bacterium. RNAcentral describes it as "partial 16S ribosomal RNA". It matches the Rfam family "Bacterial small subunit ribosomal RNA", at positions 28 to 507 of the family's 1533-position model. The record is from RNAcentral.